Molecule: transfer RNA, 73 nt
Organism: Apaloderma vittatum (bar-tailed trogon)
Lineage: Eukaryota; Metazoa; Chordata; Aves; Trogoniformes; Trogonidae
Rfam family: tRNA
About the family: Transfer RNA (tRNA) molecules are approximately 80 nucleotides in length. Their secondary structure includes four short double-helical elements and three loops (D, anti-codon, and T loops). Further hydrogen bonds mediate the characteristic L-shaped molecular structure. tRNAs have two regions of fundamental functional importance: the anti-codon, which is responsible for specific mRNA codon recognition, and the 3' end, to which the tRNAs corresponding amino acid is attached (by aminoacyl-tRNA synthetases). tRNAs cope with the degeneracy of the genetic code in two manners: having more than one tRNA (with a specific anti-codon) for a particular amino acid; and 'wobble' base-pairing, i.e. permitting non-standard base-pairing at the 3rd anti-codon position.
Source: Rfam
GGCCAGGUAGCUCAGUCAGUUGAACGUGGCGCUGACAACACCAAGGUCGUGGGUUCGAUUCCCAUUCGGUCCC